GACGAACGCUGGCGGCGUGCUUAACACAUGCAAGUCGAACGGAAAGGCCCUGCUUUUGUGGGGUGCUCGAGUGGCGAACGGGUGAGUAACACGUGAGUAACCUGCCCUUGACUUUGGGAUAACUUCAGGAAACUGGGGCUAAUACCGGAUAGGAGCUCCUGCUGCAUGGUGGGGGUUGGAAAGUUUCGGCGGUUGGGGAUGGACUCGCGGCUUAUCAGCUUGUUGGUGGGGUAGUGGCUUACCAAGGCUUUGACGGGUAGCCGGCCUGAGAGGGUGACCGGCCACAUUGGGACUGAGAUACGGACCAGACUCCUACGGGAGGCAGCAGUGGGGAAUAUUGCACAAUGGGCGGAAGCCUGAUGCAGCAACGCCGCGUGCGGGAUGGCGGCCUUCGGGUUGUAAACCGCUUUCGCCUGUGACGAAGCGUGAGUGACGGUAAUGGGUAAAGAAGCACCGGCUAACUACGUG
RNAcentral lists this ribosomal RNA (468 nucleotides) under uncultured bacterium. RNAcentral's name for it is "partial 16S ribosomal RNA". It matches the Rfam family "Bacterial small subunit ribosomal RNA", at positions 28 to 507 of the family's 1533-position model. The record is from RNAcentral.